GAUGAAGAACGCAGCAAAAUGCGAUAAGUAAUGUGAAUUGCAGAAUUCAGUGAAUCAUCGAAUCUUUGAACGCACAUUGCGCCCGCCAGUAUUCUGGCGGGCAUGCCUGUUCGAGCGUCAUUUCAACCCUCAAGCCCCCGGGUUUGGUGUUGGGGAUCGGGCUGUACUCCAGCCCGGCCCCGAAAUCUAGUGGCGGUCUCGCUGCAGCCUCCAUUGCGUAGUAGCUAACACCUCGCAACUGGAACGCGGCGCGGCCAAGCCGUUAAACCCCCAACUUCUGAAUGUUGACCUCGGAUCAGGUAGGAAUACCCGCUGAACUUAAGCAUAUCAAUAAGCGGAAGA
Molecule: unclassified non-coding RNA, 342 nt
Filed under: soil metagenome
Description: partial contains 5.8S ribosomal RNA, internal transcribed spacer 2, and large subunit ribosomal RNA
Rfam family: 5.8S ribosomal RNA (bases 1-120)
Source: RNAcentral